This 477-nucleotide ribosomal RNA is filed under the name uncultured bacterium. RNAcentral describes it as "partial 16S ribosomal RNA". It matches the Rfam family "Bacterial small subunit ribosomal RNA", at positions 28 to 507 of the family's 1533-position model. The record is from RNAcentral.
GAUUAACGCUGGCGGCGUGCAUAACACAUGCAAGUCGAACGAUGAAACUUAACUGAUUUCUUCGGAAUGAUUUUAAGUGGAUUAGUGGCGGACGGGUGAUUAACGCGUUAGUAACCUGCCUUGGAGAAGGGGAUAGCCUUUUGAAACGAAGAAUAAUACCCUAUGAUAUGAUAAUAUCUCAUGAUAUUAUCAUCAAAGAUUUAUCGCUCUAAGAUGGACUUGCGUCUGAUUAGUUAGUAGGUGAGGUAACAGCUCACCAAGGCAGCGAUCAGUAGCCGGAUUGAGAGAGUGUACGGGAACAUUGGGACUGAGACACGGCCCAGACUCCCACGGGAGGCAGCAGGGGGGAAGUUUGCACAAUGGGGGAAACCCUGAUGCAGCGACGCCGCGUGAUUUAGAAGGCAUGCGAGUUGUAAAAAUCUUUUGUAUGGGAAGAAAAUGACAGUACCAUACGAAUAAGGAACGGCUAAUUACGUG